AAUGAACGCUGGCGGCGUGCCUAACACAUGCAAGUCGGAUGUGCCGCAAGGUGCAUGGCAGACGGGUGAGUAACGCGUGGGGAACCUACCUCUUCGUGGGGAAUAACGAUCCGAAAGGAUUGGUAAUACCGCAUGAGACCGACGGCUGGGAUGCUGUCGGUGAAAGCUGGGGACCGGAAACGGCCUGGCGCGAGGAGAGGGUCCUGCGUCUGAUUAGCUAGUUGGUGGGUAACGGCCUACCAAGGCAUCGAUCAGUAGCCGGCCUGAGAGGGUGAUCGGCCACACUGGAACUGAGACACGGUCCAGACUCCUACGGGAGGCAGCAGUGGGGAAUUUUGCGCAAUGGACGAAAGUCUGACGCAGCAACGCCGCGUGGGUGAUGAAGGUCUUCGGAUUGUAAAACCCUGUCGUCGGGGAC
RNAcentral lists this ribosomal RNA (418 nucleotides) under uncultured bacterium. RNAcentral's name for it is "bacterial SSU rRNA". It matches the Rfam family "Bacterial small subunit ribosomal RNA", at positions 29 to 446 of the family's 1533-position model. The record is from RNAcentral.